RNAcentral lists this transfer RNA (69 nucleotides) under Micronecta sahlbergii. Its description in RNAcentral is "tRNA-Met". It matches the Rfam family "tRNA". From Rfam's summary of the family: Transfer RNA (tRNA) molecules are approximately 80 nucleotides in length. Lineage: Eukaryota; Metazoa; Arthropoda; Insecta; Hemiptera; Micronectidae. The record is from RNAcentral.
AAAAAGGUAAGCUAAAAAAGCUAUUAGGUUCAUACCCUGAAUAUAGAAGUAUUAAUCCUCUCCUUUUUA